This 489-nucleotide ribosomal RNA is filed under the name uncultured bacterium. RNAcentral describes it as "bacterial SSU rRNA". It matches the Rfam family "Bacterial small subunit ribosomal RNA", at positions 8 to 526 of the family's 1533-position model. The record is from RNAcentral.
AGAGUUUGAUCAUGGCUCAGCCUGAACGCUGGCGGCGUGGCUAAGACAUGCAAGUCGCACGGGGUAGCAAUACCCAGUGGCGAACGGGUGAGUAAUGAAUCGCUAAUGUGCCCCGGACUCUGAGAUAGCUACCCGAAAGGGUAGGUAAUAUCAGAUGAUAUGCAGCUGUCGCAUGACAGUUGCCUCAAAGGUCCGCCGGUCUGGGAGCAGGCGAUUUCGUAUCAGCUAGUUGGUGAGGUAACGGCUCACCAAGGCGACGACGCGUAGCCGGACUGAGAGGUUGGCCGGCCACAUUGGGACUGAGACACUGCCCAGACUCCUACGGGGGGCUGCAGUAACGAAUCUUCCGCAAUGCACGAAAGUGUGACGGAGCGACGCCGCGUGUGGGACGAAGCCCUUCGGGGUGUAAACCACUGUCAGGGGUUACCAAGUUCUGAGGAGCCCCAGAGGAAGGGACGGCUAACUCUGUGCCAGCCGCCGCGGUAAUAC